RNAcentral lists this small RNA (429 nucleotides) under Pongo abelii (Sumatran orangutan). Its description in RNAcentral is "retained intron". Lineage: Eukaryota; Metazoa; Chordata; Mammalia; Primates; Hominidae. The record is from RNAcentral.
AGGGGUGCGAGCGGCGGCGGCCAUGGACGACGAGGAGGAGACGUACCGGCUCUGGAAAAUCCGCAAGACCAUCAUGCAGCUGUGCCACGACCGUGGCUACCUGGUGACCCAGGACGAGCUUGACCAGACCCUGGAGGAGUUCAAAGCCCAAUUUGGGGACAAGCCGAGUGAGGGGCGGCCGCGGCGCACGGACCUCACCGUGCUGGUGGCCCACAACGAUGACCCCACCGACCAGAUGUUUGUGUUCUUUCCAGGUGAGCAGCGGGUCCCGGGGGAGUUCCGGUGGAGCCACCCGAGCACCUGCCGAGGAGCCGGCUGCUAGCACCCACCCCCCACUCGCCUGGUGCCCAGCAUUUGUCUCUCUGCUCAGGCUGGGAGGAAAACUCCCCUCCCCUUCCUUGCUGUGGGCGAUGCCGUUGACCUCUGACC